RNAcentral lists this long non-coding RNA (4669 nucleotides) under Triticum aestivum (bread wheat). RNAcentral's name for it is "long non-coding RNA (TAES_LNC007945)". The record is from RNAcentral. Lineage: Eukaryota; Viridiplantae; Streptophyta; Magnoliopsida; Poales; Poaceae.
CUUGUCAAGAACAUUUGGAUUUGCACCAGCUUCCAACAAGCACUUGAUAGCUUCAGUUAAGCCCUUCUGCAGCCGUUACCAACGGAUUAUAACAAGGACCAGCACCACUCACAUUAGCUCCACCCUAUGAGAUGCAAGUAUGAAAAGCCAAUCAUUUGUUUAGUUGUUAAUACAAAAAUGACUAAAUCAAACAUCAGUUUAUAGAAAUCUAGAUUCCUAUUGCAGUACAAAAAGAGGAUACAAUACCUGAAUCAAUAGCUACAGAUACUGGAUCCUCUCUUGUUUGGUAUUCCCUCACAGCCUUACUGAACUUUCAUCAAACACCUUGUAGGCAUAGAUAAAAAAGAAUUUGCACAUGUAAAUAAAUGAGCUGAAGAGAAAGGGCAGGAGGCAAGGGGAAAAGCCAGGUGUGGCAUCUUCUACUUUUCCAUGGCCGCCUGCACCUCGGGGUCGGCAGCUGCCCUCUGACAGAGAGAGGGAGAGAUGUAGAGGGAUAGAGAGAGGCACUCACCAACGCGCGGAGCUUGGCAGCCAAAACGGAAGGGAAGCCGGCCCCAAUGACCUCCUCCGCCUUCUAUGCUAGUCACCACCAGUCGCUCCCGCGCGAGAUGCAGGAGAGCGCACACGAGGCAGCCGCAGCUCGGCCUCUCCAUCUUCUCCGGUCGCUGCAAACCAUGGUGGAAGGUGGGCGGACGAGCUCCUCUCCAUCUUCUCGACCCGCUGCAGGGAGAGAAGGGAACGGGCAGCUGUAGAUGGAGCAACACCGGUCGCCUCCGGGUGCGGCGGCUCUGGCGAGAUGGGAAGAGUGGAGGGAGGCGGCAGCUGCGCUGGGAGUAGAGAGCGCCGAGCGGGGAAGGAGGGACGCGGGGGACCGCUCCGACCCGGACGCCCUCCAUGGCGUCGCCGCCGAGGCGCGCGGAUGGAGGAGGAGAAGAGGACGCGGCGCGCGGAUGGAGGAGGUGGCGCGGAUGGAGGAGGAGGCGAGGACGCGGCUAGGGUUCAUGGGGAAGACGCAGUCUGCGCGGUCUCGCUCCUGCCCGCGCUGCCUGCCUUUUUGGUCCACUGAAAAGAGUAAAAUGCCCUUGGCCCGUUGAAAAGACUAAAAUGCCCUUGAUGGGAUGCAGAAUUUACAAGCGGUGGCAUAGCGAUUAUAUGGGGCGACGUGGAGGGCGCGGUCGUGACUACGAGUCUAGAAGGGUUUAUAUGUUCAAUCACUUGUUUAUUGCGACAUGGACCACUGAUAUCUGAAAUAUAUGAAAAAGAACAUCAACGCCCAAGAAAAAAUAUGCCCUCGUAAAAGUAAAAGAAUGUACCAGUAAAAGAAAUGCUCCAGUAGAAGUCCUCUGUUACUUUUAGUGUCAGUACCUCCAACUAACAGAAUUACAAUAGACGGUAACCCAAAAAUAUGUCCAUCUCCUGAACUUCUUUGUUGAACUGUGGGACUAACACAAUGUACACUCUCAAGGAAACGAAAACUUCCCAAACUGAAGAGACUGGACCAAAAAAACCGUAAAGACCGAAUGCCCGGGCUUAUCCUCGCGUUCUAUAUAGUAUUUAUGUUUAAUAACCAAUUCAACAUCAUCCAAGUAAAUUGCUAGCAUCCAGGUAAGAAAUUGCUCUGAAGCAAUGAAAAAACUAACCAAUUCAGCAUCAUCAAUGAAAGAAUCUUCAGUGGCAUACUGAUUAUCAUCAGGCACAUCACCCAGAUCUUCUUCGUGACUACUAUGCCUGCCCUAUCAAAGUGCAGUAUGAGGACAUGGGGCAAAGACGUUAUGCACAUGGUGUAUAAUGUUAAAAGUGCAUCUUGAGAUAACAACAUGUGCAUUACCAUGUAAAGGCGCUCGAUUAUCUCAAUAACCACAUUGAACCAAUUUGACUGUGAUGGAUCAUUUGGGUCAUUUUCUGUUGGAUGUACCUGACUCCAAAAAGAUGAGACAACAUCAAUAUCAAAUAUAACAAUAAUCCAACUGUUCUGCAACAACAAAAAACUAAUUAAUCUAUCUAUCACAUGUGAAAACAAACACAAGAUAGACUGAUUAAUCCAAAGAACCGGUAAGUGCAGCAGCUGGCAAUGUGAACAUCAAGGAUGAUAGAUAAUACAUUAAUAUUUUCCAUAUACUGUGAACUACCAACAGGGAAUUUUAAUUAGAAAACGGCUUGUGUCUUGUAUAGUGCAAAGUAUGUAAUUUCAUUUUACAGUAGCCACCUCAUCAGUUACCAUGAACAGUUUUCUUGAAUUUUCCUCAGGUUUUUGCUGCACUUUUGGUGGAAGCGUGUAUAUGUUUUGAGGCCCUGGAGAAGAAGCUAAGCAGACAUAAUCCUAUCUCAAUGCAAAGGGUUCCACUGUCCACGACAACACCUGAUGUAUGCCUUAUUAUCUCUAUUUUACAUCUCUUAACUUUUGUUGUCUGUACUAAAUUUCUCUGUUGCAAACUACUUUUACGCUCGCUCUACAUAGACUAACAUUACUCCUCACGUGGCUACAACAGGAUUGAUCAGCCCACAAAUGCACUAACAGUUGUAUCUAGCUAGUCCCCAACAUAUUAUGCACAUAAUAGAAUCCCAAUUUCUCCAUCCCUCCCACUUGAAAUCCCUUGGUUUGCAUGCUUGAUCGGCGCCCAUAGUGGUCAUGCUAAAUUUUGAAUGAUAAAUUCAAGUGGACCAUUCCCAUAGUUCUAACAUACAAACCUACUUGAUCAAUCACCCCAGCUUCAAGAGCAAUGUAUCUUAACCAGCCUAUCAUAUGAGAAUCCAGAGGGCUGAUGUUUGGAACAAUGGUUCUUCUGAAGGUAUCCCAAAAUAAUGAGACAAGGAUGUAAAUCACAAUCAUAAGAGUUACCUCCUAUAACUCGGUGGAGGAUUGAAUGAUGAAAAAACUAUGCUGGCCACACACUUGAUUUCUGCUAGUGCAGAUGCCAGCAAAUUAGUAAGAGCUACAGUAGUAUCCUCCAUGAAAUUCAAACCAUCAAGCUCCUGGUGAGCAGUUUUUCCUGCAUCUACAGGGGAAAGCAAAUAAGAUCUACAUCAACCACGGGUUGAAUUAAGACUUGCGCACAAAUCUAGUACUACUACUUGGUAAGACCUACCGCAACACCAGAGGGCCCCGCGAGGGGGGCGACGAUGGGCUGUAUCGCCGGGGCGUGCAAAGAGGGCGGUUCCCGGGUCUGCCUCCUUGACCAGCUUCUUCCAGGACACAAUGAUCGUCUCCCCGGGCCAAUUUGUUUAGUACUGAACUAAAAAUGGCUUGGCCGUCCAAUUUAUAAAAAAAAUCAGAAAUGAGAAUACAUAAAUCUUUAGACAAUGCUAAUAAUGUAACUUGUCACAGACACAAAAUUUGCUACUAUUUUUCAGUGUUGAAUUAUACUAAAUACAAUAUAAGGCAUUCAGAAAAAUCCUCACCUUAAAUAAGGCAUUACAACAAACUUGUUGGGAAAACCUGCACACAACUACCAGAUAAUUAAAAAUAAGGCAUUAAUUCGUCUUAGCACAAGGAAUUACGUCCUAGGAAAAAGAACAAAAUUACUGACUAAUGUCACAUUGCUUGAUUGGAGUAUUACCUGGAAAUGAAAACAAGCUAGGCAGAUCAUUGAUGCACUAUAUGAAUUACAAACAAGCACUGCAAAAAUAUACAUCCAGUAUAGAACAGAGGUCACUUAAUAUAUAUGCAAAAUAAAAACAUUGCCAUACACAAAAAUAAAUCCAAACAAUGAUAGAAUAAAUCAAGAGGUUCAUCCUGUUGUUCCCAUCAACACAACAAAAAUAUGCAUUUAGUAUAGAACGGAUGCCAAAAUAAAGAGUUGGGACAUACAUUUCCAUUGAAGUUCUUCGUUUCAGUUCAGGACAGUACCAUUCAAUCCAUACGCCCAUCCCUACAAAACUGUAUCAAUAAGACAAAUUCAACCAAAAUAUUUCAAUGGCUAAUCGAGUGUUCGAUAACUGUAGACUGCGGAUACAAAUGAAAUGCGGAAAUGAUGAACAUCUUCUUAGUGCGGAAAUCCAAAUCUAAGCUGAAAUAUGGCAUUUCUUAUGUUUAAAGUGACAAUAACAUGAGAGAUAGUCCGCUGCCGCCGCAAGCAGAGUAGGUGCGUCGCACCUACUGGUAGCAAAACGGUGCGGCUGCGUGUGUUCUCCAUGAGUAAAACUUCCAUGCAUACAUAGCAUCAUGUAGGUGUACUUACAUAACUCGUAUAGUUGUUGCACAUCACUACAAAGCCAAGCAAGACACAAGAAUAUGUGACAAAAUGAGCAUUCUGACCUUGUCAAGAACAUUUGGAUUUGCACCAGCUUCCAACAAGCACUUGAUAGCUUCAGUUAAGCCCUUCUACAGCCGUUACCAACGGAUUAUAACAAGGACCAGCACCACUCACAUUAGCUCCACCCUAUGAGAUGCAAGUAUGAAAAGCCAAUCAUUUGUUUAGUUGUUAAUACAAAAAUGACUAAAUCAAACAUCAGUUUAUAGAAAUCUAGAUUCCUAUUGCAGUACAAAAAGAGGAUACAAUACCUGAAUCAAUAGCUACAGAUACUGGAUCCUCUCUUGUUUGGUAUUCCCUCACAGCCUUACUGAACUUUCAUCAAACACCUUGCAGGCAUAGAUAAAAAAGAAUUUGCACAUGUAAAUAAAUGAGCUGAAGAGAAAGGGCAGGAGGCAAGGGGAAAAGCCAGGUGUGGC